Molecule: ribosomal RNA, 80 nt
Filed under: uncultured Pyramimonadales
Lineage: Eukaryota; Viridiplantae; Chlorophyta; Pyramimonadophyceae; Pyramimonadales
Description: partial Bacterial large subunit ribosomal RNA
Source: RNAcentral
CAAUGACCCGAGUAGCAUGAGACACGUGAAACCCUGUGUGAAUCCGCGAGUGUGAAUCCGCGAGGACCACCUUGUCAGGC